Molecule: ribosomal RNA, 253 nt
Filed under: uncultured bacterium
Lineage: Bacteria
Description: partial 16S ribosomal RNA
Rfam family: Bacterial small subunit ribosomal RNA
Source: RNAcentral
UACGGAGGAUCCAAGCGUUAUCCGGAAUCAUUGGGUUUAAAGGGUCCGUAGGCGGUUUAAUAAGUCAGUGGUGAAAGCCCAUCGCUCAACGGUGGAACGGCCAUUGAUACUGUUAAACUUGAAUUAUUAGGAAGUAACUAGAAUAUGUAGUGUAGCGGUGAAAUGCUUAGAGAUUACAUGGAAUACCAAUUGCGAAGGCAGGUUACUACUAAUGGAUUGACGCUGAUGGACGAAAGUGUGGGUAGCGAACAGG